UACGUAGGGGGCAAGCGUUGUCCGGAAUCAUUGGGCGUAAAGCGCGUGUAGGCGGCCUUGUAAGUCCGUUCUGAAAGCCCGGGGCUCAACCCCGGGAGGCGGAUGGAUACUGCAAGGCUCGAGUACGGAAGAGGCGAGUGGAAUUCCCGGUGUAGCGGUGAAAUGCGCAGAUAUCGGGAGGAACACCAAGGCGAAGGCAGCUCGCUGGGACGUUACGUGACGCUGAGA
This 228-nucleotide ribosomal RNA is filed under the name uncultured bacterium. RNAcentral describes it as "partial 16S ribosomal RNA". It matches the Rfam family "Bacterial small subunit ribosomal RNA", at positions 524 to 751 of the family's 1533-position model. The record is from RNAcentral.